RNAcentral lists this ribosomal RNA (446 nucleotides) under uncultured bacterium. RNAcentral's name for it is "partial 16S ribosomal RNA". It matches the Rfam family "Bacterial small subunit ribosomal RNA", at positions 338 to 795 of the family's 1533-position model. The record is from RNAcentral.
CCUACGGGAGGCAGCAGUAGGGAAUUUUCGGCAAUGGGGGGAACCCUGACCGAGCAACGCCGCGUUAACGAAGAAGUUAUUCGUAAUGUAAAGUUCUUUUACCAGGGAAGAAAGAGAAAUUUGACGGUACCUGAAGAAUAAGCUCCGGCUAACUACGUGCCAGCAGCCGCGGUAAUACGUAGGGAGCGAGCGUUAUCCGGAAUUAUUGGGUUUAAAGGGAGCGUAGAUGUGUUGUUAAGUCAGUGGUCAAAUUGCGGGGCUCAACCCCGUACUGCCGUUGAAACUGCAUCCCUUGAGUGCGCGAGAAGUAUGCGGAAUGCGUGGUGUAGCGGUGAAAUGCAUAGAUAUCACGCAGAACUCCGAUUGCGAAGGCAGCAUACCGGCGCGCAACUGACGCUCAUGCACGAAAGCGUGGGUAUCGAACAGGAUUAGAUACCCCAGUAGUC